Molecule: transfer-messenger RNA, 353 nt
Filed under: bacterium
Lineage: Bacteria
Rfam family: transfer-messenger RNA
About the family: Bacterial tmRNA, also known as 10Sa RNA or SsrA, is named for its dual tRNA and mRNA-like properties. Its role is to liberate the mRNA from a stalled ribosome.
Source: RNAcentral
GGGGGUGAAAGACUUGACGGAGACUAGACCAAUCGUAAGCAGGCUGAGCAUUCUCGAAUCUCAUAAAACUUCGGGAAACAAUAAGUGCUAACUUAUUUACAAGCAAACAGCUUGAACCAGUUUACGCUUAAAACCGUAAGCCAUCCGUCUCGUUGAUUCUCGAUAAACGAAAACGGGUGUCAUAGUAUCGAGAUAGGUAAUUCUUUCGGCCAAAGGAAUUAUUGAAAAAUUAGGCCAAACAUAGAAAGAUUUUGCCCAGUUUCAACUUUCUAUCGUAAACAAAUUGGGAUAAGCUUGUAGAAUUAUUAUCGGAAUAAUCUUCGGACGGGAAUUCAACUUCCCCACCUCCACAC